Molecule: transfer RNA, 77 nt
Filed under: Gammaproteobacteria bacterium
Lineage: Bacteria; Pseudomonadati; Pseudomonadota; Gammaproteobacteria
Also listed under: 2 other names
Description: tRNA-Arg
Rfam family: tRNA
About the family: Transfer RNA (tRNA) molecules are approximately 80 nucleotides in length. Their secondary structure includes four short double-helical elements and three loops (D, anti-codon, and T loops).
Source: RNAcentral
GCCCCGAUAACUCAACUGGAUAGAGCACCGGUCUUCUAAACCGGGGGUUCCAGGUUCGAGUCCUGGUCGGGGCGCCA